RNAcentral lists this ribosomal RNA (499 nucleotides) under uncultured bacterium. Its description in RNAcentral is "partial 16S ribosomal RNA". It matches the Rfam family "Bacterial small subunit ribosomal RNA", at positions 28 to 507 of the family's 1533-position model. The record is from RNAcentral.
GACGAACGCUGGCGGCGUGCCUAAUACAUGCAAGUCGAGCGAAGUUUUUCUGGUGCUUGCACUAGAAAAACUUAGCGGCGCACGGGUGAGUAACACGUAAAGAACCUGCCUCAUAGACUGGGACAACUAUUGGAAACGAUAGCUAAUACCGGAUAACAGUAUUUCUCGCAUGAGAGAUAUUUAAGAGUUGGUUAUGCUAACACUAUGAGAUGGCUUUGCGGUGCAUUAGCUAGUUGGUGGGGUAAAGGCCCACCAAGGCGACGAUGCAUAGCCGACCUGAGAGGGUGAUCGGCCACACUGGGACUGAGACACGGCCCAGACUCCUACGGGAGGCAGCAGUAGGGAAUCUUCCGCAAUGGGCGAAAGCCUGACGGAGCAACGCCGCGUGAGUGAAGAAGGAUUUCGGUUCGUAAAGCUCUGUUGUUAGGGAAGAAUGGAUAUGUAGUAACUAUACAUGUAAGAGACGGUACCUAACCAGAAAGCCACGGCUAACUACGUG